RNAcentral lists this non-coding RNA (45 nucleotides) under Schistosoma mattheei. The record is from RNAcentral. Lineage: Eukaryota; Metazoa; Platyhelminthes; Trematoda; Strigeidida; Schistosomatidae.
AUCUAGCUGAUAAGUUUCAAAUAGGACGAAACAAAUGUUCUGGAU